AUGAUUAGUCUUAGCCUAUGCCUCUUUAUAUAAAAAUAAAAAUAUAUAUUGACUAGCCAUAUCAACCUGGAUUCAACCUGGCUCAUGUUGGUCACUUGUCACCCAUAUGAGAGGUCACGUAUGGAUAUUUUCGUUCAAAUCACUCAGCAAUAUUAAAUCCUCUUACUUGAGGUGUGAAAAGAACCUCCAUUCGAUCCUCUAAUUGAUCUAAACAAAGAUCAAUCUUGAGAGAAAAUUCAAAAUCUGAAAAUAAUGCUGCAUGUGCAUUGCAAAGAAGCAGAAGGUUUUUACAAAAAACCUAAACAAAAAAGACCACUGGACAGUAAGAUGUCGAUUUCAAAAUUAAAAAGAAUUUCUUCUACAUGAUUUGAAAUAUUUAUAUUUCUCUUGUACAUCAUGUAUCCUCAAAAAGUUAGGCUAAAACUGCAUGGUUAUAAUUAUAAUUAUGAUACACAUAUAUGAGACGCGCAAAAUGAUAUAUAGCCUAAAUAUUCUCCUCCAUUAUCCGACCUUCCAUAAUCACUACCCAAGUCGAUGCAUACAUUACAAGAUUAACUCAAAAGUGAUGCUUUUGUGAAACUUUUCUUUCUUCAAAUUAGGCUAUUGGUGAGAAGAUUUCUUCCUUCAAAGUUGAGCUAUUAUCCAAAUCCAUUUCUCCUAUUUUUGCUACUUUUAUUGCUAGCAGCAGUUAAAAUUGACCUGACCAAAAAUCUGCCUUCAGCUAUGCUUGAAUUUUUCAGCACGACUCAGAUUCAGGUCAAAUUGUUUGAACUGGACUUUAAAUAGAUCAGGAAUGGUCAGCACUUAGAACUGAAUUGGUUGUCAAGAGUAAAGUUUAUUUGGGAAAAUUAGUAGCAAACUUGACUUGGCCCAACAUAUUGUCAUCCCCAUAUACAAAUACAUUAUCAAUUUCCAAAUAGAAGUGCAAAUCCGGCCAGGUUUAAUUUAAUUUUCCCAAUAUAAAAUAGGUGGAAAAUGUAAAUAAGAAUUGACUAAGAUAUUAGAUAGAAAUUUAUGCAAUUCCUGUACAAUAAUUGGGAGAAAAUCAUUGCAAGCUAGGAGGGUGCCGCUUAUGCAAUUAGAAAAUUCUUUGAAAGCUUAGACUAGCCAAUAUAACAUCCCUUACAUAAGUGGGCCCUAUAUGGCCAAUAAAUAGAUUAAAAAAUUAUUAUUUGAAUUAUUUAUACAAAAAAUAAUUAAAAAAUUGGUAGAAUUUUAGUAUAAGAUUACUUCCAACUAAAUACAGUAACUUUUUUGGUUACCAUUUUUCAGAGUAAUUUUUCACCAACCAAAUGCGGUAAACUUUAUUUUCUCUAGCAUUCAUUUUCUCAGAUAAAUGCCUCCCACAAACCAUCAAAUUUCCAAGAAUCAUCAUAUUACCCUUAAUCUAGCAUACCUCAACCAAACAAACCCUCAAAGUUUUGAGAAGAUUCAACCCUUUUGAUCUUAAAAAUGUGGUAAAACGAUACCAUUUUCCUGAUACCCACCCAUUAAAUAAUUAAAAAACAUGUGUAAAAUGUUAAGAAGUCAAAUUCGUUCAAUGUUACAUUGAAUUGCAACAUAAAAUUUUAUCAAAGGGAGAACAUAAAAGUAUGUUCUUUUUGGUUGAGCGGUUAAUGAGCCAAAAAAUGUGCUAGAAUGCGACACGAAGGCACAUGCAGGCAUAAAGUACUCGAUCGUAAUAAUCGUACUGAUGUUUCAAAAAAAGAGUCCGGCAACACAAAACGUUGUCAUCCAAAAUAGUAUACUUUCUUGCACAUUUGAUGCACCUUAAUUGUUUUUUUGGCAAGCCAUGCACCUAAAUUUUUCAGUAAUUAAGACACAAGACGCUUGUUAUAGAGGAACCAAGUUGCAUUGAGACUCUAAUAAAAGCAAGAUCACGCCUUACCAACCAAAACAGGUGAAGCCACAAAUGAAGAGUCCAGCCACAAUAGACUUUUCUACUUAACAAACAAUAAAGAUAUGCAUUAUUUUCUUUGGCAUUUAAAACCUUGUAAUCUCCCCCACAGUAGUAGUUCUUGAUAUGGUUAUUACGCCGAUCACAUAGCAAACUUAUAUUUGAUGGGCAACUUUUGGAAAAACAAAAUAACAGACAUUUUAAUCACUAAACAUAGUGUAUUUGAGUGACCCAAUCAAGACAAUCAGGUGAUAAUUAUCCAAUAAUUAUCCAAAUGUAUAUGAUGGCUUUUAACUGAGACAUUGUUUUGGAGAGUGUUAAUUAAGUGCGAGUUUAUUAUUCUAGUGUGAUGGAUUCUUUUGUAAGAAAAUAUAAAUAUAUAAAUAAAUCUAUCUCAUCCUAUAAGCUUAAGUUUUUAGGACAAGUGGUGAUUUCAACAUGGUAUCAAGGCCAACAUAUGAGGAGUGUAAGAAAAUAUAAAUAUAUAAAUAAAUCUAUCUCAUUCUAUCAGCUUAAGCUUAUAGGAUAAGUAGUGAUUUCAACAUCUUUCACAAAAUCAAAAUAUUAAAAAAAAGACACUGAUCUAUUCUAAAGCUAAAGCCAUGAUAAUAAGAAAUGGUAAACAUGUUAAGUCAUCUAAAUAGUAUAUAAAAUUAUAGUACAAAGUGCCCGAGAAAUGCUUGAGAGAGCCAUAAUUUUCUAAUUAAUGAAUAUUUAACAGCAG
This 2621-nucleotide long non-coding RNA is filed under the name Phoenix dactylifera (date palm). RNAcentral's name for it is "long non-coding RNA (PDAC_LNC003581)". Lineage: Eukaryota; Viridiplantae; Streptophyta; Magnoliopsida; Arecales; Arecaceae. The record is from RNAcentral.